This 497-nucleotide ribosomal RNA is filed under the name uncultured bacterium. Its description in RNAcentral is "partial 16S ribosomal RNA". It matches the Rfam family "Bacterial small subunit ribosomal RNA", at positions 28 to 507 of the family's 1533-position model. The record is from RNAcentral.
GAUGAACGCUGGCGGCGUGCCUAAUACAUGCAAGUCGAGCGAACAGACGAGGCGCUUGCUCCUUUUACGUUAGCGGCGGACGGGUGAGUAACACGUGGGUAACCUACCGAUAAGACUGGGAUAACUUCGGGAAACCGGAGCUAAUACCGGAUAAUAUUUCGAACCGCAUGGUUCGAUAGUGAAAGAUGGCUUUGCUAUCACUUAUAGAUGUGCCUGCGCCGUAUUAGCUAGUUGGUAAGGUAACGGCCUACCAAGGCAACGAUACGUAGCCGACCUGAGAGGAUGAUCGGCCACACUGGAACUGAGACACGGUCCAGACUCCUACGGGAGGCAGCAGUAGGGAAUAUUGGGCAAUGGGCGAAAGCCUGACGGAACAACGCCGCGUGAGUGAUGAAGGUCUUCGGAUCGUAAAACUCUGUUAUUAGGGAAGAACAAAAGUGAAAGUAACUGUGCACGUCUUGACGGUACCUAAUCAGAAAGCAACGGCUAACUACGUG